RNAcentral lists this ribosomal RNA (497 nucleotides) under uncultured bacterium. RNAcentral's name for it is "partial 16S ribosomal RNA". It matches the Rfam family "Bacterial small subunit ribosomal RNA", at positions 28 to 507 of the family's 1533-position model. The record is from RNAcentral.
GAUGAACGCUGGCGGCGUGCCUAAUACAUGCAAGUCGAGCGAACGGACGAGAAGCUUGCUUCUCUGAUGUUAGCGGCGGACGGGUGAGUAACACGUGGAUAACCUACCUAUAAGACUGGGAUAACUUCGGGAAACCGGAGCUAAUACCGGAUAAUAUUUUGAACCGCAUGGUUCAAAAGAGAAAUACGGUCUUGCUGUCACUUAUAGAUGGAUCCGCGCUGCAUUAGCUAGUUGGUAAGGUAACGGCUUACCAAGGCAACGAUGCAUAGCCGACCUGAGAGGGGGAUCGGCCACACUGGAACGUGGACACGGUCCAGAGUCCUACGGGAGGCAGCAGUAGGGAAUCUUCCGCAAUGGGCGAAAGCCUGACGGAGCAACGCCGCGUGAGUGAUGAAGGUCUUCGGAUCGUAAAACUCUGUUAUUAGGGAAGAACAUAUGUGUAAGUAACUGUGCACAUCUUGACGGUACCUAAUCAGAAAGCCACGGCUAACUACGUG